UUGGGGCCUGUGAAUAGCAUGCAGCCACAUCCAGAAUGUGCAUCCAGAAAGGGCAUCUUUGGACACCUAUGCAGAGGCUGGCCUCUGUCCUCAAGGAGCUUGCAGUCUGGUAGAGAAGUUGAGAACUGUCCAUGCAGAGUACCAACUAUACAAGGCAGCCUGUGACCAGAGUUCUGAAGCCUGGGAAAUUGAAGAUUGGAUAGCUGCAUCUGGGAGUCCUUCUUGCUGGUGGGGUCUCUCUGUAGAGUUCUAAGGUAGUGUAUCAUACAUCAAGACAGAGCAGAUGCCCACCAGCCGCCAGCGUAACUGCGCAGGCUGAGCAGUCCCAGGCUGACUGGAGCCCUGCUCCGUCCGGUUCACCAUGACCACCUGCAACGAGGAGACGGUGAAGACCCCCUGGGCACACUGACCAGCCACCAGUGUAGCCAGGCUGGUGCCUGCAACACGCCUCCCCAC
RNAcentral lists this long non-coding RNA (456 nucleotides) under Heterocephalus glaber (naked mole-rat). RNAcentral's name for it is "lncRNA (ENSHGLG00000043163.1)". Lineage: Eukaryota; Metazoa; Chordata; Mammalia; Rodentia; Bathyergidae. The record is from RNAcentral.